CCAAGGGUUGGGCUGUUCGCCCAUUAAAGCGGUACGCGAGCUGGGUUCAGAACGUCGUGAGACAGUUCGGUCCCUAUCCGUCGUGGGCGUAGGAAAUUUGAGAGGAGCUGUCCUUAGUACGAGAGGACCGGGAUGGACAUACCUCUGGUGUACCAGUUGUCGUGCCAACGGCAUAGCUGGGUAGCUAUGUGUGGACGGGAUAAGUGCUGAAAGCAUCUAAGCAUGAAGCCCCCCUCAAGAUGAGAUUUCCCAACUUCGGUUAUAAGAUCCCUCAAAGAUGAUGAGGUUAAUAGGUUCGAGGUGGAAGCAUGGUGACAUGUGGAGCUGACGAAUACUAAUCGAUCGAAGACUUAAUCAA
Molecule: ribosomal RNA, 358 nt
Filed under: Staphylococcus aureus
Lineage: Bacteria; Bacillati; Bacillota; Bacilli; Caryophanales; Staphylococcaceae
Description: partial 23S ribosomal RNA
Rfam family: Bacterial large subunit ribosomal RNA
Source: RNAcentral